UAUCCAGCUUUCCACGCUAACCAUAAUGGCGGCUGCUAUAAAAAAAUUUGACAGCACUUGUGCCCCAGCUGAACUGAAAUUAUGAUACAAAAUCUCAGCAAUCUUAGAAAUCAUGAAAAAAAAUCAGCUGUCAAGUGAUGAAAAAUGCUACUGCUUUAAAUAAUUUGGAUAGGUUUGUUCAAACAUUUUCGUUUUUAAUAAAUAAUUUAUUCUUUAUUUUAGGUAAGGGACGUUAGUCGUAAAGACCUCUUUUGGAUCCCGGACUCUCGAAGCCCAAUCCCAAAUUUGAACAAAAGGAAAACCCAUGAGCUACUGGUCUUUUGCGAAUAGCAACCUCCCAGAUCCCUUGGAGGCAACGGAUAGGGUCAGAUGGCGGUGAUGGCUUCGACAAUGGUGAUGUAGCUUUGAUGAUGAUGACGAGAGUUUCAAGAGAUGAUAGGAUGGGAGCGGUUUGAGAAGUGGCGUUUCGGGAGCAAUACUCAAUUCCCUCGAUUCCGUAGCAGGUCCAGAAGGCCUUUGUAGGAUCGAGUUAUCCGUUUUCUCCGUUUCAAUUGCAAAGAUGAGCUGCGUUGUGAUGUAUAAUUUGGUCGGAUUCCGUUGAGUUUCUUCUUCUGUCAGAGUACAAACUCUGCGACCAUACCUUCAACAAUUUCAAAUUCUUCAGGAGCGGAUGUUCCACAAGUCGGUCAUCGUAUAUCUCCUCCACUUGAGCAUACAGAUGUUUCGUUCAAAUAUGGCAGCUUAUCACGAAUGGGCCAGGAAUACAACUCCAGGUGUACGGUGCAAUACAGAUGUCAGCAGAAAAGAUCUCUAGUCCCAGACCGAGUCGAAACUUUUAGGAUCUUGCUGCAGCUUUACCCUAGUAGGAUAUUGGGCCAAUAUGACCCAGACUGGUACGCUGAACGUGCACUACGCCAUCGUGGUGCGAAAGUCCUAACAUCUUAGGAGGGCUCAGUAUGUUUAAGUUGUUCCAUUCCAUUUUUCCAUUUCCUUUAUCAUAGUUUUGAGUAGAUCCUCUUGUCCUGCAGUGUUGUAUGUUGCUUUCACAACGAAAAUGCGCCACCACUUCCACAGGGGCUCCAGUCUACAGAACUUCUCAAAUCUCAGAACUUCUCGUGCAAAACCCUCCCAUACGUUUGGGCGUAGUCUGACUCAUAAAAAUAGUUUUAAUCAAGCUGAUGAAUUAACGAUGACAAUAAUUCCAUUACAUUUGCUGCAAUAUAUGUUUAGUGCCGUUUUGCCUUCAAUCUGCUUUUUUACGGCUUCAAA
Aedes albopictus (Asian tiger mosquito) is the source of this 1269-nucleotide long non-coding RNA. RefSeq lists it as uncharacterized. Lineage: Eukaryota; Metazoa; Arthropoda; Insecta; Diptera; Culicidae. The record is from RefSeq and is a predicted model, not a curated record. The transcript is spliced from 3 exons.